Molecule: RNA transcript, 2341 nt
Organism: Galeopterus variegatus (Sunda flying lemur)
Lineage: Eukaryota; Metazoa; Chordata; Mammalia; Dermoptera; Cynocephalidae
Gene name: rho GTPase-activating protein 10
Exons: 17
Source: RefSeq, a predicted model, not a curated record
UUCAGACACGGAAUCGAUUUGAAGGAACAAGGUCAGAAGUAGAAGAGCUUAUGAACAAAAUCAGACAGAAUCCUAAGGACCACAAACGAGCAAGUCAGUUUACAGCAGAAGGCUACCUGUAUGUACAGGAAAAAAGGCCUGCUCCAUUUGGUUCCAGUUGGGUCAAACACUACUGCAUGUAUCGGAAAGCAGCCAAGAAGUUCAACAUGAUCCCAUUUGAGCACAGAUCUGGGGGGAAACUUGGGGAUGGAGAAGUAUUCUUUUUAAAAGAAUGUACCAAAAGGCAUACUGACUCCACUGACAGAAGGUUUUGUUUCGACAUAGAAGCUGCUGACCGGCCUGGUAUUUCCUUGACCAUGCAGGCGUUUUCAGAAGAGGAAAGGAAACAGUGGUUGGAAGCUCUGGGUGGAAAAGAAGCUCUGUUUCAUAGUUUUAAUAGAGCCAUCAUUCCAAGACCAGAAGGAAGUGCACAGUUGGAUAAGAUGGGAUUCACAAUUCUCAGAAAAUGUAUCAAUGCAGUUGAAACACGAGGUAUAAAUGACCAAGGAUUGUACAGAGUUGUGGGGGUGAGUUCAAAGGUCCAGAGACUUCUGAGUAUGUUGAUGGAUGUAAAUACAUGUAAUGAGGUGGACCUGGAGAAUUCUGUAGAUUGGGAAGUGAAGACAAUAACCAGUGCCCUGAAACAGUAUUUGAGGAGUCUUCCGGAGCCUCUCAUGACCUAUGAGUUACAUGGAGAUUUCAUUGUUCCAGCCAAAAGUGGCAGCCCAGAAUCUCGUGUUAAUGCUAUCCAUUUCUUGGUACACAAACUGCCAGAGAAGAAUAAAGAAAUGUUGGAUAUUUUGGUGAAACACUUAACAAAUGUUUCAGAUCACUCCAAGCAGAACCUAAUGACCGUGGCCAAUUUAGGAGUGGUGUUUGGACCAACUCUGAUGAGGCCACAGGAAGAAACUGUUGCUGCCAUCAUGGAUUUGAAGUUUCAGAAUAUUGUUGUGGAAAUCUUAAUUGAAAACCAUGAAAAGAUUUUUCGAACUCCGCCUGAUACCACAUUCUUUGAGCCCAGCUGCCUGUCAGCAUCGCCCCCAAAUGCUCCACCAAGGCAAUCGAAGAGACAAGGCCAGAGGACAAAGAGGCCCGUGGCGGUAUAUAAUCUUUGUCUCGAGCUGGAAGACGGUGACAGUCCUAAUCCUCCUAAGGAGGACACCCCAACCAGCAGUCUGGACUCACUUUCCUCCCCAUCUCCCACGACUGCAGCUGUCCAUGGGCCUCCUGGACCAGACAGAAACCACCUUCUUACAGAUGGAGGGAACUGUGGCGACUGGACACCCACUGGCCCAAGCCAGACCCGAUCAUCUAUGGUCCAGUGGCUUAACCCACAGUCUCCAAUCACACCAAGCUGCAACCCAGCUGUUACACCUCCUUCACCCCAGUUGUCACCUUUCCCCCUCUCUUCUGCCACCGUAGCAGACAAGCCGCCUGAAAGCAUCAUCAAUCGGAAGGCUCGAGCAGUGUAUCCGUGUGAAGCAGAACACAGCUCAGAAUUAUCUUUUGACAUAGGAGCAAUUUUUGAAGAUGUGCAAACCUCGAGGGAACCUGGCUGGCUAGAGGGGACUCUGAAUGGCAAGAGGGGACUGAUUCCACAGAAUUACGUCAAGCUGCUAUAGCUCCCGGCCUGCAGGGGCCCCAUGCUGACCCUGCCACCCAAGGACCUUCCUGCGAGUUGCACCCAUGACCUAUCUCCACACUCGGAAUUACAGAUCACAAUUGGCACUCCAGGGCUGGGGGGAGGGGGAUGGGGCAUGCCACACAGAACUGUAUAGAUUUGUGGAUCAGAAGAAUGUCGGGAUUAAUAGAAUGGACUUUUCCUUUGUCAAGCAUCAGGACUUGUGAUUUUUAAUUAUCCAGCCUAUAGAAGGAGAGGAGGGCAGCCUUCUGCCACCCCAGCAGCCCCCACCCCCUACAGUCACCCCACCAGACCCAUGAAGAAUCCCAUUCCUCCCCGUGUACCUGCUGCUGAGAUUUUAAAGGGAACUGCUCCUCUUCACAGUGUUUUGUUUGCAGGGCGCGUGCUUGGCUCUGGUCGCCGUGGUGUGGAGCGGGCUGCUGCUGGGGCCGGGGGAAUUGGUCUCAACCCAGAGCGAAGCAGAAAGAUGCUCUUUUCAAGCCUGCUCCUACCUACAAGGCCACCCUGGGGACCCCACACUCACUCUACCUGGAGGACAGAGCAUCCUGGCGUUUUUAUAACAGGCUUCUUGCUGGUGCUCUUCACCUGUGUGCUGUUUUCCAACCACCUGAGACUCCCCAUGGUCUCUGUACAUGAAAUAAAACGUAAUUUACUAUUUGA